UGCCUCAGUAACGGCGAGUGAAGCGGCAACAGCUCAAAUUUGAAAUCUGGCCCUUUCAGGGUCCGAGUUGUAAUUUGCAGAGGGUGCUUUGGUGUCGGCCGUGGUCUAAGUUCCUUGGAACAGGACGUCACAGAGGGUGAGAAUCCCGUACGUGGCCGCCGGUCUUCACCGUGUAAAGCCCCUUCGACGAGUCGAGUUGUUUGGGAAUGCAGCUCUAAAUGGGAGAUACAUUUCUUCUAAAGCUAAAUAUUGGCCAGAGACCGAUAGCGCACAAGUAGAGUGAUCGAAAGAUGAAAAGCACUUUGGAAAGAGAGUCAAAAAGCACGUGAAAUUGUUGAAAGGGAAGCGCUUGCAGCCAGACGUGCCCGCAGUUGCUCACCUGGGCUCUCGCCCGGGGCAUUCUUCUGCGGGCAGGCCAGCAUCAGUUCGGGCGGUUGGAUAAAGGCCUCUAUCACGUAUCUUCCUUCGGGAUGACCUUAUAGGGGAGGCGCAACACGACCAGCCUGAACUGAGGACCGCGCAUCAGCUAGGAUGCUGGCGUAAUGGCUGUAAGCGGCCCGUCUUGAAACACGGACCAAGGAGUCUAACAUCUAUGCGAGUGUUUGGGUGUAAAGCCCGGGCGCGCAAUGAAAGUGAACGGAGGUGGGAACCCCUCGGGGUGCACCAUCGACCGAU
RNAcentral lists this ribosomal RNA (675 nucleotides) under Pleosporales sp. Its description in RNAcentral is "partial large subunit ribosomal RNA". It matches the Rfam family "Eukaryotic large subunit ribosomal RNA", at positions 76 to 769 of the family's 3401-position model. Lineage: Eukaryota; Fungi; Ascomycota; Dothideomycetes; Pleosporales. The record is from RNAcentral.